CCUACGGGGGGCACCAGUGGGGAAUAUUGGGCAAUGGGCGGAAGCCUGACCCAGCAACGCCGCGUGAAGGAAUAAGGCCUUCGGGUUGUAAACUUCUUUUAUUAGGGACGAAGGAUGUGACGGUACCUAAUGAAUAAGCCACGGCUAACUACGUGCCAGCAGCCGCGGUAAUACGUAGGGGACGAGCGUUGUCCGGAAUUACUGGGCGUAAAGGGCGCGCAGGCGGAUAUUUAAGUCAGCUGUUAAAGUCAUGGGCUCAACUCAUGGAUGCGGUUGAAACUGGGUAUCUAGAGUGCUGGAGAGGUAGGCGGAAUUCCCGGUGUAGCGGUGAAAUGCGUAGAUAUCGGGAGGAACAUCAGUGGCGAAGGCGGGUAACUGGACUGUAACUGACGCUGAGACGCGAAAGUGUGGGGAGCAAACAGGAUUAGAUACCCUUGUAG
RNAcentral lists this ribosomal RNA (440 nucleotides) under uncultured bacterium. RNAcentral describes it as "bacterial SSU rRNA". It matches the Rfam family "Bacterial small subunit ribosomal RNA", at positions 338 to 793 of the family's 1533-position model. The record is from RNAcentral.